AUUGAACGCUGGCGGCAGGCCUAACACAUGCAAGUCGAGCGGAUGACAGGAGCUUGCUCCUGGAUUCAGCGGCGGACGGGUGAGUAAUGCCUAGGAAUCUGCCUGGUAGUGGGGGACAACGUUUCGAAAGGAACGCUAAUACCGCAUACGUCCUACGGGAGAAAGCAGGGGACCUUCGGGCCUUGCGCUAUCAGAUGAGCCUAGGUCGGAUUAGCUAGUUGGUGAGGUAAUGGCUCACCAAGGCGACGAUCCGUAACUGGUCUGAGAGGAUGAUCAGUCACACUGGAACUGAGACACGGUCCAGACUCCUACGGGAGGCAGCAGUGGGGAAUAUUGGACAAUGGGCGAAAGCCUGAUCCAGCCAUGCCGCGUGUGUGAAGAAGGUCUUCGGAUUGUAAAGCACUUUAAGUUGGGAGGAAGGGCAUUAACCUAAUACGUUAGUGUUUUGACGUUACCGACAGAAUAAGC
This 468-nucleotide ribosomal RNA is filed under the name Pseudomonas sp. E154. RNAcentral describes it as "bacterial SSU rRNA". It matches the Rfam family "Bacterial small subunit ribosomal RNA", at positions 30 to 491 of the family's 1533-position model. The record is from RNAcentral. Lineage: Bacteria; Pseudomonadati; Pseudomonadota; Gammaproteobacteria; Pseudomonadales; Pseudomonadaceae.